AGUGAACGCUGGCGGUAGGCCUAACACAUGCAAGUCGAACGGCAGCACAGUAAGAGCUUGCUCUUACGGGUGGCGAGUGGCGGACGGGUGAGGAAUACAUCGGAAUCUACUUUUUCCUGGGGGAUAACGUAGGGAAACUUACGCUAAUACCGCAUACGACCUACGGGUGAAAGCAGGGGAUCUUCGGACCUUGCGCGAUUGAAUGAGCCGAUGUCGGAUUAGCUAGUUGGCGGGGUAAAGGCCCACCAAGGCGACGAUCCGUAGCUGGUCUGAGAGGAUGAUCGGCCACACUGGAACUGAGACACGGUCCAGACUCCUACGGGAGGCAGCAGUGGGGAAUAUUGGACAAUGGGCGCAAGCCUGAUCCAGCCAUACCGCGUGGGUGAAGAAGGCCUUCGGGUUGUAAAGCCCUUUUGUUGGGAAAGAAAAGCAGCAGGUUAAUACCCCGCUGUUCUGACGGUACCCAAAGAAUAAGCACCGGCUAACUUCGUG
Molecule: ribosomal RNA, 492 nt
Filed under: uncultured bacterium
Lineage: Bacteria
Description: partial 16S ribosomal RNA
Rfam family: Bacterial small subunit ribosomal RNA
Source: RNAcentral